Molecule: ribosomal RNA, 1852 nt
Filed under: Staphylococcus sp. KY49P
Lineage: Bacteria; Bacillati; Bacillota; Bacilli; Caryophanales; Staphylococcaceae
Description: partial 23S ribosomal RNA
Rfam family: Bacterial large subunit ribosomal RNA
Source: RNAcentral
GGGUUGUGAGGUUAAGCGACUAAGCGUACACGGUGGAUGCCCUGGCAGUCAGAGGCGAUGAAGGACGUGCUAAUCUGCGAUAAGCGUCGGUAAGGUGAUAUGAACCGUUAUACCCGACGAUAUCCGAAUGGGGAAACCCAGUAUCCAAUGGAUACUAUCAUUAACUGAAUCCAUAGGUUAAUGAGGCGAACCGGGAGAACUGAAACAUCUCAGUACCCCGAGGAAAAGAAAUCAACCGAGAUUCCCCUAGUAGCGGCGAGCGAACGGGGAGCAGCCCAGAGUCUUAAUCAAUAGCAGUGUCAGGAGAACGGUCUGGAAAGUCCGGCAGUAAAGGGUGAUAGCCCCGUAUCUGAAGGUGCUGUUAUUGUGAACUCGACGAGUAGGGCGGGACACGUGUUAUCCUGUCUGAAUAUGGGGGGACCAUCCUCCAAGGCUAAAUACUCCUGAUUGACCGAUAGUGAACCAGUACCGUGAGGGAAAGGCGAAAAGAACCCCGGCGAGGGGAGUGAAAAAGAACCUGAAACCGUGUACGUACAAGCAGUGGGAGCACCCUUCGGGNNNNNNNNNNNNNNNNNNNNNNNNNNNNNNNNNNNNNNNNNNNNAGGGAAACCGAGUCUUAACUGGGCGUUAAGUUGCAGGGUAUAGACCCGAAACCCGGUGAUCUAGCCAUGGGCAGGUUGAAGGUUGGGUAACACUAACUGGAGGACCGAACCGACUAAUGUUGAAAAAUUAGCGGAUGACCUGUGGCUGGGGGUGAAAGGCCAAUCAAACCGGGAGAUAGCUGGUUCUCCCCGAAAGCUAUUUAGGUAGCGCCUCGUGAACUCAUCUUCGGGGGUAGAGCACUGUUUCGACUAGGGGGUCAUCCCGACUUAACAACGCGAUGCAAACUACGAAUACCGAAGAAUGUUAUCACGGGAGACACACGGCGGGUGCUAACGUCCGUCGUGAAGAGGGAAACAACCCAGACCGCCAGCUAAGGUCCCAAAGUCAUGGUUAAGUGGGAAACGAUGUGGGAAGGCCCAGACAGCCAGGAUGUUGGCUUAGAAGCAGCCAUCAUUUAAAGAAAGCGUAAUAGCUCACUGGUCGAGUCGGCCUGCGCGGAAGAUGUAACGGGGCUAAACCAUGCACCGAAGCUGCGGCAGCGACACUAUGUGUUGUUGGGUAGGGGAGCGUUCUGUAAGCCUGUGAAGGUGUACUGUGAGGUAUGCUGGAGGUAUCAGAAGUGCGAAUGCUGACAUAAGUAACGAUAAUGCGGGUGAAAAACCCGCACGCCGGAAGACCAAGGGUUCCUGUCCAACGUUAAUCGGGGCAGGGUGAGUCGACCCCUAAGGCGAGGCCGAAAGGCGUAGUCGAUGGGAAACAGGUUAAUAUUCCUGUACUUGGUGUUACUGCGAAGGGGGGACGGAGAAGGCUAUGUUAGCCGGGCGACGGUUGUCCCGGUUUAAGCAUGUAGGCGGAGGUUCCAGGUAAAUCCGGUACCUUUUAACGCUGAAGGUGUGAUGACGAGGCACUACGGUGCUGAAGUGAUAAAUGCCCUGCUUCCAGGAAAAGCCUCUAAGCAUCAGGUAACACGAAAUCGUACCCCAAACCGACACAGGUGGUCAGGUAGAGAAUACCAAGGCGCUUGAGAGAACUCGGGUGAAGGAACUAGGCAAAAUGGUGCCGUAACUUCGGGAGAAGGCACGCUGGUAUGUAGGUGAAGCCCCUGCGGGUGGAGCUGAAAUCAGUCGAAGAUACCAGCUGGCUGCAACUGUUUAUUAAAAACACAGCACUGUGCAAACACGAAAGUGGACGUAUACGGUGUGACGCCUGCCCGGUGCUGGAAGGUUAAUUGAUGGGGUCAGCCGCAAGG